UGGGGAAUAUUGCACAAUGGGCGCAAGCCUGAUGCAGCAACGCCGCGUGAACGAUGAAGGUCUUCGGAUCGUAAAGUUCUGUUGCAGGGGAAGAUAAUGACGGUACCUCAAGAAAAAGCCCCGGCUAACUACGUGCCAGCAGCCGCGGUAAUACGUAGGGGGCUAGCGUUGUCCGGAAUCACUGGGCGUAAAGGGUUCGCAGGCGGAAUAACAAGUCAGAUGUGAAAGGCAUGGGCUCAACCCAUGUAAGCAUUUGAAACUGUAAUUCUUGAGAAGUGGAGAGGUAAGUGGAAUUCCUAGUGUAGCGGUGAAAUGCGUAGAUAUUAGGAGGAAUACCUGUGGCGAAGGCGACUUACUGGACACAAAUCUGACGCUGAGGAACGAAAGCGUGGGUAGCAAACAGG
Molecule: ribosomal RNA, 404 nt
Filed under: Verrucomicrobiota bacterium
Lineage: Bacteria; Pseudomonadati; Verrucomicrobiota
Description: Verrucomicrobia bacterium partial 16S ribosomal RNA
Rfam family: Bacterial small subunit ribosomal RNA
Source: RNAcentral